Molecule: long non-coding RNA, 3550 nt
Organism: Passer domesticus (house sparrow)
Lineage: Eukaryota; Metazoa; Chordata; Aves; Passeriformes; Passeridae
Exons: 3
Source: RefSeq, a predicted model, not a curated record
UUCAGCCGACAUGCUGAGCACAGCCCCUGGUCCCUGCACGGCCAGCGUUAGCCCAGCCCUGCUUGUCCCCUGCCACAACUGCUGAGCAGCGCCUGCAGCAGAAAUCCAGGUCAGUUUGUGGCACCUGGAUGGGAGACAGUCACUACACCCCUAAGCAGGCUCUGGGAGAGGUCUCCAUCGUGCCUGCUGCGUCCUUCCUGGAGCACGGGAGAACGCCCAGGGUAGAAGCAGGAUUUCCCUUCCUCCACGCUCCUCCUCUCCAGCAGGGCUGCUGUGCCCAGUGCUGCUGACUCAGAAAUGCAGGGGUCAGGAGGCACGGAGAGGGGUCAAAUCCCAGAUUUGGCAGGAUGAGAGCUUUAAUACAAUGCCCCAGCUCUGGUCCCAACAGCAGAACCUGCAGCUGGAGUCUUUCCUUAAAGGUGUGGGGUCAGAGGGACUCCGGUGGGAAUGGCACCGCCACGAGGAGAGCUCACAUCUGACUCAUCAGCUCAGGCGACAAAUCCUCCCUAAAAAAACACCGACAGAGGAAAAACCCUCCACAUUUCUUACCUGUCACCCCCUGGAGCAUCAGGAGGAGCAGAGCACAGAGGACAGGCAGGAUCCGCAUGCCUGGGAGUCCCCAGCAGAGUCGCAGCUCUGGGGAGAAGAGAAAGGAGGCAGAGGUCUGAAAGCUCUGGAUCAGAUGGGAACCCAAAGGUUUCAGAGCAGAGAUGCUGUGAAGUGUCACACUGGAGAAGACUUUUGUGCUCCCAGUGGAAAUGGUGACUGAUCUCAGCCAUGACAGAGAAUUCCCUAGCAGGCAUGUGUGGAGUGCUUGUCAGGAGCCCCAGAGGGGUAAAUAUUUUGGUGAACUACACAUUCCUGGCAGGUCUAGAUUAAUUUCACAAUUCUUGUUUAAAAUUCUUAAUGGAAAUAAGACAUGGGAAAUGAAUGGGAAAUUAAUUACUUUUGGAAAUGAUUGACAACACCACACAGGGCAGCCAUGCAACCUCCCCACAUCUUGCUUUUAUUGAAAGGAGAAUGACAAAUCCUUGGUUGCUGCUGCAACAAUUCCUUGAAUCCAACGAUAUCAAAAGCAAUCACUCCUGGAGAUGCUCCACAAUUAGCCACACUAGAGCCUACAAAGGAAAGGAUAUUCAGAAUUAUGAUUAUGAGGAAAAUCCUGCUGUUUGGGAUUCCAGUGAUAAUUUGGGAAGUCAUCUUUGCCCCAGACAAAUCCUGAACUUACCACCUACAGCAACUGUACCCAGAACGACACGACCCCAGGUAAUCGUUGCCACGAGGGCAUUUCCCCCUGUGGCAGAAGGUCCCACGAUACCCACACUCCAUGUAAGGCCUCCUGGGCCUUGCCAAGCUUCUACCUUAAAAAAGAACAAAAAACCAAAUAAAUAAACAAAAGAUGGGAGACAUUUUAUUUCCGGCAGGGAUUUGCAUUUUGCUUAAUCCCUGUGAGCUGACAAGGACGUGACAGUUCAGUCCUCAGAGGAGGAGGUCUGUGGGCACAAUGACCAAGCAAACACUCUUAAUUCCUUCUUUCCUGCCAAAAUAGGAUACCCACAAUUCAAACUGCCAUUGGGAACGGCCACCAGCCUGUGCUAUUCCCAGAACAGGUUUUAUCCAUGAAGGUGCUAAUUGUCAGGGAUCAAAACAACCCCAGGGAGCAGACCAGCAAUUAGGCAGGAGGUUGCCUGGCCCUGUUUGGUCGAUUAAUAAAGAUGCAGCCUGGCAGCUGAAGUGUUCUGGAGGCACCUGACUGAGUGCACAUGAACCAAUUAAUUCCAGUUUCCAGCUCAUCCAUGGAACAUUGCAAAGUAUUCAGAGAGAGGGGAGCUUGUUCCAGCAAACAGGAAAUGGAUAUUAAAUAUGGACAGUGCAUCCUGCACAUCUCUGGUGGGCUGGAUUCCCAGCAUGUCAGAUAUAUACACACCCAGAAAAUCCCAGGGAGUAAUAAAGGAGUGGUUUAAAGGGUGAAUAAAACAUUCCUGGUCUCAAACUAGCAGUCUGUGAGGCAUUGUGAGCAGUCUGAGCUCUCAGGAGCACUUUUCUUCCCAGAUACAGGUAAUUUUCUGGCUUUAAUACACCCAGAAGGUCCUACUGAAAACAGGCCAGACAUCCCCUGUGUGGUAAAUAAGGACAUAAAACAGGCCAAAAGAACUCUUUGCCCAGUGUCCUGCCUCUGGGAACUGGCACAGGCAGAGGCCCAGGAGGCAGCUUGGUCACAUCCCAAAGGGGACAGGAGAGCUUUGCAAGACAUCAACAUCUUCUCUUUAGUCCCUCACCUUACCUGCAGCUCCGUGAAAUGCCACCAAGAGGAGAACAAGGAGAAAAGGAAGGAUUUUCAUGGCAGAGGGUGGGCUGGGAUCCUGGGUCACUGCAGAGAAAGGAGACCAGGACAUUGGUUAGAGCCUUGUCCCUCCAUAGUCCCAGAUGUGACACAGAGAAAUGUUCUUCAGGACCUGGAAGUUACCUAAAAGAGGUUAUUACACAUUUUUGUCAUCAUCGUGUCUAUUGUUUUAAGAUUUUCCUGGAGCACACAUAGAAUCAUGGCAUAGGAAGAAACUUCCAUGCAAAAAAUUCAAUUUUAAAUCCCUUUUAAUUAAUGCUUUAAGUGACCAGCAAUUUAUCCUGGAUUUCUUGAUAACCUGCAGUGCAUUGCAAUAAAUUUGAUUUGCCUUAUGGAAGGUAAAGCUGCUAAUUCAGAAAAUAAGACAAUUUUUGCUACAUUUAUACAAAACAACCCCAUGGGUUUUCUCAAGCUUUUCUACUUAAAAAAAAAAGAGCUGAAAAAGCAAUUUUCUUCCCAAUUAACCCAAAAGCCAGCUUCUCCUUAUUCUUUCUUGGACACUGUUGUUAUUCUUCCCCUCAAGAAUUACAUUUUUUCCAGGAUAAAUUUUUGAGUAUUUGCAUUUCCUGCUGCCAACAAAAACUCCUCUCCCUUAUCAACAUUUGACACCUCUAGAACUGGCUCAUGACAGACUGGAGCCACAGAGCAGUUAAGGCUAUAAAACAAAAUAAAUAAACAUGAUAAGCUAAACAUUAAAGACAUGAAGUCUCCACCCGUUUAAGAAGGACAAAACCAUUUGAAAGAGGCUGAAUAAUGAGAAUAUUUUGGCUGUUACCAGGUAGGAGGAGCUCUAGGCUGGAACAGUCCCAGGAUCAGUGUCAGCCACCCGGAUGAAGAUGAAGGAGCAGAGCUGGGUGGGUUUGUGCUGUUUCUGGAGGGAUGUUUGACCUCCACAGCCUUCUGGUGGCCAAUGAGGCUUUGGGGAGCUCUGGGGACACCCAAUGAAUCCUCUUUGCUGUUGUCCUAAGAGGAACCAAGGUCUGGCUUUCAAAGCAUUGCGGCAUCGCCUCGGGAAAUGUGUUGAGAUGAUAAAAACCACCCUGGGCUCCUCCCUUUGAGCAACCCUUUGGCCACAGCAGCUCACUCAAGGAAUGUUUCCAUCUGUUUUCAGAGGUUUUAUAUUUCCUUUACAAGCAUGAACAAUAUAUCAUCAUAGAAGUAAAAUAAUCAUCAGCUGGAAUGUUAAAAUAAAACCCACCAAACCUA